Molecule: ribosomal RNA, 419 nt
Filed under: uncultured bacterium
Lineage: Bacteria
Description: partial 16S ribosomal RNA
Rfam family: Bacterial small subunit ribosomal RNA
Source: RNAcentral
ACGGAAGGCAGCAGUGGGGAAUAUUGGGCAAUGGGGGAAACCCUGACCCAGCAACGCCGCGUGAAGGAAGAAGGUCUUCGGAUCGUAAACUUCUGUCCUCAGGGAAGAGAAAGAGACGGUGCCUGAGGAGGAAGCCCCGGCUAACUACGUGCCAGCAGCCGCGGUAAUACGUAGGGGGCAAGCGUUGUCCGGAAUGAUUGGGCGUAAAGGGCGCGUAGGUGGCUCGGUAAGUCUGAAGUGAAAGUCCUGGCUUCAAGUUGGGAAUUGCUUUGGAUACUGUCGAGCUUGAGUGCAGGAGAGGUAAGUGGAAUUCCCAGUGUAGCGGUGAAAUGCGUAGAGAUUGGGAGGAACACCAGUGGCGAAGGCGACUUACUGGACUGUAACUGACGCUGAGGCGCGAAAGUGUGGGGAGCAAACAG